This 477-nucleotide ribosomal RNA is filed under the name uncultured Escherichia sp. RNAcentral describes it as "bacterial SSU rRNA". It matches the Rfam family "Bacterial small subunit ribosomal RNA", at positions 134 to 606 of the family's 1533-position model. The record is from RNAcentral. Lineage: Bacteria; Pseudomonadati; Pseudomonadota; Gammaproteobacteria; Enterobacterales; Enterobacteriaceae.
UGGAGGGGGAUAACUACUGGAAACGGUAGCUAAUACCGCAUAACGUCGCAAGACCAAAGAGGGGGACCUUCGGGCCUCUUGCCAUCGGAUGUGCCCAGAUGGGAUUAGCUAGUAGGUGGGGUAACGGCUCACCUAGGCGACGAUCCCUAGCUGGUCUGAGAGGAUGACCAGCCACACUGGAACUGAGACACGGUCCAGACUCCUACGGGAGGCAGCAGUGGGGAAUAUUGCACAAUGGGCGCAAGCCUGAUGCAGCCAUGCCGCGUGUAUGAAGAAGGCCUUCGGGUUGUAAAGUACUUUCAGCGGGGAGGAAGGGAGUAAAGUUAAUACCUUUGCUCAUUGACGUUACCCGCAGAAGAAGCACCGGCUAACUCCGUGCCAGCAGCCGCGGUAAUACGGAGGGUGCAAGCGUUAAUCGGAAUUACUGGGCGUAAAGCGCACGCAGGCGGUUUGUUAAGUCAGAUGUGAAAUCCCCCG